Molecule: long non-coding RNA, 1013 nt
Organism: Myotis davidii
Lineage: Eukaryota; Metazoa; Chordata; Mammalia; Chiroptera; Vespertilionidae
Exons: 2
Source: RefSeq, a predicted model, not a curated record
CUGGCCGGUGCCGGCGGCCUCCUCCGUAACCCGGGAAUGAAAGGGGCCUUUUGAUGGCUCCAGCUGAAAAGAUAUUUUAUUUUCGUUUAUUUUCCCGUGUGUGGGGUGUGAGACGUGCGGCUCUGAGCGGCUCUGAGAGGCGGCCGGGCCCCCUGCUGCUUGCUGGGCUGGCCGCCGGCCCCCCUCUGGCGAAUGUUAUGGAGAAUCCGGAGGCUUCUGUGCCCGGCUCCCCCCUCACCCCUUUCUUCUUUUGUCUUCUUUGAAGAAUGACUUUAGACGUUUUAUUUACAUAUUUAACCGCGGAUGAAAGAGGGGCCAGGCCGCGUUUGGGGGCUGCCGUGGGAAUAGCGAGGGCUCUAAAUUAAUGGAAAUCUCAUUAGGCCUCUCACAUUUUCAGCGAGAAACUUGAUAAUGAAACAUGAUUUCAAAUAACGGGCAGGGGCGAGGAGUAUUUUUUGUUCUACCCUCUGCCCCCCACCACCUACAACAGACAUAUCUCUCUUGGAAAAUUCUACACUUACACAUUCGCUACCUUCGGGUUCUUGGGCUUGUUCUCUCAGCAAAGCACGGGGUUUUGAAAGGGGACCAUCCCAGGAGUCGGGCACGGCCUCCAGUGAGGGCUACACUGUUUGCUUGUUUGUUUUUGGUGGACGAGGAUGGAAGGGGUGGCCCCGAGGCUCCCUCCCUCCCAGCAGAGUGAAAAGUGUGAGCUACGUGGACACGGAGAUCGCGGGAAAGCAAAGGCGUGGCUCUUCCCAGGACAUCGCCGUCCCUGCGGUUGGUUAGAAUCGCCGCUGCCGGAGGGCGGUUUUCUGAACCCAGAUGAGAGCAAGCCCAGGUCACCUCCUUAAGAGAAAGACCUACCGACCCGUCCGGCCACAGAGAGAAAGGCCCGGCUUUGGAUCCUCUCGGAGAGCCGGCUCCCCACGGCUCCGGCCUUGCUUCCCACACUCCCCAAAACAACAGCCCGGCGGACACCCUCCAACCAAAUUAGAUUAAACUCCUCUCCGCGG